UUUGGAAAUAUAAAAUCUAGUGAGCAAUACUAAGUAAUGAAAUAGAGAAGCUAAUAAGACAACUAAAAGUAUUUAAAAAACCACAAAUGGACAAGUUUUAUUAAAGUUUUAUCUUUUAAUUAAUUUAAGUGUUAUAUUAUGUACCUGAAAAUGAAUUUGAUAAUGGGGAAUGAAGCAUUUUAUGAAUAAUGUAAAAAAUAAGACAAGUGGAGUAUGAAAUAAUGGUUGGUUAAGUAACAUUACCUCAAGAACAGGAAACAGUAACUGAAACUAUGUUCUUCCACAUUUAAUCUUAAUAAGUUCAGCAGUUUGAAUGUUAAUGAGAUAUUGUUAUAAACAAACUGCAUUUGUAGAUUUUGGGAAGAAUUAUAUCUUUACAAUAACUAUUAUUAUUUACAAUUGUUGUGUUAAGGAAACAAUCACUAUUUUUAGUUUUUUAUUAGUUAAUUAUCUACAUAUAUAAAUAUGAAUACAUGUACAUUAGGUAGUAAUGCAUUUAAUUUGGUGCACCUGUGUGUGUUCAGUAGUAAUGUCUGUAUUGUUUAAUAAGUUGUUACAUAUGCUUAUUUUUCUAUGUAGACUGCAUUAUGUUAAGGAAGAUAUUUGGUGCCUUAUUUUAAUAAAAAAUAACCAUAA
Molecule: long non-coding RNA, 636 nt
Organism: Pieris napi
Lineage: Eukaryota; Metazoa; Arthropoda; Insecta; Lepidoptera; Pieridae
Exons: 2
Source: RefSeq, a predicted model, not a curated record